GAGUUUGAUCCUGGCUCAGAUUGAACGCUGGCGGCACGCCUUACACAUGCAAGUCGAGCGGUCAAAAUGAGGGAGCUUGCUCCCGAAAGACGAGCGGCGGACGGGUGAGUAACGCGCGGGAACGCGCCCUUUGGCGGGGGACAACCUUGGGAAACCAGGGCUAAUACCGCAUAAUCUCUACGGAGUAAAGCGGGGGAUCUUCGGACCUCGCGCCAUUGGAGCGGCCCGUGUCCGAUUAGUUUGACGGCGGGGUAACAGCCCACCGUGGCUACAAUCGGUAGCUGGUCUGAGAGGAUGAUCAGCCACACCGGGACUGAGACACGGCCCGGACUCCUACGGGAGGCAGCAGUGGGGAAUAUUGGACAAUGGGGGCAACCCUGAUCCAGCGAUGCCGCGUGUGUGAAGAAGGCCUUCGGGUUGUAAAGCACUUUCGCGGGGGAAGAAACUUCGCGCUCUAACAUAGCGCGGCACUGACGGUACCCCGAGAAGAAGCGCCGGCUAACUCCGUGCCAGCAGCCGCGGUAAUACGGAGGGCGCAAGCGUUAAUCGGAAUGACUGGGCGUAAAGCGUGCGCAGGCGGCCGCGGAAGUCNGGAUGUGAAG
This 602-nucleotide ribosomal RNA is filed under the name uncultured bacterium. Its description in RNAcentral is "bacterial SSU rRNA". It matches the Rfam family "Bacterial small subunit ribosomal RNA", at positions 9 to 600 of the family's 1533-position model. The record is from RNAcentral.